AAAAAACUAUGUUCGAGGGUUGAUUUGGCCUAGUUGAGAUCAAGGUACAUUUGCUCCUGCCGGAUGCUAGUGGUCAUUCAGCUAUUUCUGGAGACUUCAAGGUAUACAUGCCCGACGCUCGUAGGCCUUGGAGUCACCUUCUUCCAUUCUCUUAUUAAUGUUUAUCCUCUAUUCAGAUAGUGUUAUAUUAGAUAAUUUUAGUACAUUUAUGUAUAGCUUAUGACUCAGUCUCAUCGGGUUUUGGGAAUAUCGUACUGCGGUUCAAUAUCGAAGUUAUUAUGAUAUUUAUCAUCUUUAUUUCAUGUUUUAGUCGUUGCUUCUUUCA
This is a non-coding RNA of Nicotiana tabacum (common tobacco), 325 nucleotides long. The record is from RefSeq and is a predicted model, not a curated record. Lineage: Eukaryota; Viridiplantae; Streptophyta; Magnoliopsida; Solanales; Solanaceae.